Non-coding RNA from Oryctolagus cuniculus (rabbit), 732 nucleotides. The record is from RefSeq and is a predicted model, not a curated record. Lineage: Eukaryota; Metazoa; Chordata; Mammalia; Lagomorpha; Leporidae.
AGCCUGGCUGUUUACCAGCUCCGCAUACUCCUCUCUGAAGCACAAACAAAGCCGGUAGCAACCAAGCAAGCAUCUCCUCAUGCUGUGUUGAGGAGUUUGUUACAAUCCUGCUCCUUGAAGGACUGCCACAAUUCCCUGAGUCGGUGAUGUGUCUUUGAUAUCAGCCUACUGCUCUUGGAAGCAUUACAACAUGUGAACCUGGAUUCCUCUGGUCAGGACACACACGAGCACCAUGCUUGAAAGCAAACUUGCCUCCUGUGCAGCUUGUGAAUGCCGUCACUCUCAAUUGCCACGAAAUCAACAGUCAGGCAGCACAAUGCUUUUGUUCAAAUAUUGAAACCUUAAGCACCCUGCAAGCAAAUGAAGACAACAAACUUGCAUAUCUGGAUUGCAGUUCGGGCCACAUGGCUACUCUCACGAUUGGUUUCAGAGGAGUCUCUAGUACCUUGUUCUCAAACUGGCGUUCUUCAGACUAACAGCUCUGAUGUCCGUAUUUUUCAUAAAUGACCAGCAGGCGCAUGCAGAACUUGAGCAUCAGAAGCAAAUACCUGGUCAUGCGGCAUGGCCAAUGAAACAGCAAUAGAACAAGUCAGAAACAAAAGCAGCUGAGCAUAUGUUUGUACCAAAUAUGUCUUUACCAAAGACCUUGAUUGGAGCCAGUGUUGGAGAAGCAAUAUUAAACCACCUGAGUAAGAUCUACUGAAACCUUGAAAGACUUCUUCCCUGUAGCUC